UUAGCUACAGUCUGAUGGUUCUUCCGUUGAUUCUUUUUAAAUAAUAGGAGCCUCUCACAGGUGACAUUUGGAUUCACAAGUCUAGUCCAGCUCCAAAGGACAUGGAGAUGCAUGCUGUGUGGCGUUUACUAAAACGUGAGAAGACUUCCCAUAGAAGCUGCCUUGCCUACAGCAUCUGCACACUGGACUCUGGAUUUGAAGACACAAAAGCAUCAUAUUCCAGUCAUUGAUGGAACUCCACUAGAGCCCCCAGCAAUAGUGGUAGUGGUGACGGGGCCUCCAAAGUUGGAAAGAGCACUUUGAUACAAUGCCUCAUUCGGAACUUCACCUGGCAGAAGUUGACCGAGAUCAGAGGCCCUGUGACGAUCGUGUCAGGUAAAAAGUGCAGACUCACCAUUAUUGAAUGUGGGUGUGAUAUUAACAUGAUGAUUGAUCUGGCUAAAGUAGCAGAUCUGGUAAGUCAGCUGGGGCAGCCUGGGGUGCUGAUGGAGACUUACAGCAUUGUGAUAGGUUAUUUACCCCAUGAUGAAGGGAAGAGAGUUUUAUGGUUAUUAAAAGGAUCAUGGUCAUUAUCAGGGAUAUAGUAGAUGUGACUGAAUUGAUGAUGAUAAUAAUAAUAGUGAUAAAUGUUGUCAUAUUAAUAAUACAAAUGGAAUGUGCACAAUGAAAUGUAUUCCAAAAUCUAAAAGCAAAUCACAGGAUGGAGAAAACCUUUAAUGAACACAGCUAAUAAGAGCUCAUUAAUAUGUAUAUGUAUAUACGUACAAAUAUAUCAUAGUAAGUACCAUUUCUUCUUGGAUCCUUCCUGGCACUGUGCUAACUGCUUUCUACAAAUUUAGCUUACAUAAACCCUUGAUACACCCUUGAGGUGAGUAGGUAUUAUCUAUAGUUUACAUAAGAUGAAAUAGAGCCUCCCAGCAGUUAAGUAACUUGUGUGAAGAUGGGACCCUUGUUCCUGAUGGUUCUAGAACCUUCAUCCUUAAUGAUAAUGCUAAAGUAAGUACAUGAAUUGCCUGAAGAAGUGGUCAGAGUUUAUCAAUAGAAAAUUUAGAUAGUACUCAGUGUGUGGAAGAUGUACAUGCUCUUGCAUUUAUGGAAAUGAUAAUGUUCACUAUUUCUGAUAUUCUAUGAACUAUCUUUUACAUUAGCAAAAAAAAAAAAAAAAAAAAAAAAAAGGCCAGACACAGUGGCUCACACCUGUAAUCCCAGCACUUUGGGAGACCAAAGUGGGCGGAUCACCUGAGGUCAGGAGUUCGAGACCAGCCUGACCAACAUGCAGAAACCCCAUCUCUACUAAAAAUACAAAAUUAGCCAGGUACUGAUGCUUAUAGAUGCCAGCUUUGGGUUUGAAAUGGAAAUGUUUGAAUUUCUAAACAUCGGUGAAGUACAUGGCUUUCCUAA
Pongo pygmaeus (Bornean orangutan) is the source of this 1401-nucleotide long non-coding RNA. RefSeq lists it as uncharacterized. The transcript is spliced from 4 exons. The record is from RefSeq and is a predicted model, not a curated record. NCBI's taxonomy places the organism in Eukaryota, Metazoa, Chordata, Mammalia, Primates, Hominidae.